UUCAGGAGAGCCAACCUGCCCGGAAGUGAUAUGUCACGGACCGAACAACGUCGCAUGCUUUAUUGGCCCUUUUCAAUGCAAAUGCAGUUGUGUGGAGGAAGCAACCCCCUGUGGAUUCCUGCAGCUGCGUCCAUGUCGACAGGGUCAUUCCGUCAAGUGUCAAAGAUCUGACAACACGUGCAUAUGCAAGUGCGUGGAAGACUGAAAUGAUUGAAGUGCGUCAAACAAUUGUUCAAUAAAAGGUGCUAUAUUAGGAGCAACAGAAAACCA
Molecule: long non-coding RNA, 270 nt
Organism: Rhipicephalus microplus (southern cattle tick)
Lineage: Eukaryota; Metazoa; Arthropoda; Arachnida; Ixodida; Ixodidae
Source: RefSeq, a predicted model, not a curated record